AUGCAGAGGAGGAGGAAGAAGAAGGUGAGGCCAAAGAGGGGGACGGGGACAAAGGGGCAACAAUUGAUGGCAGUGAGAGGGGAGAAGACAAAGGCGCAGCAGCUGAUGGCAGUGAGAGGGAAGAAGACGAUGAUGAAGAAGACGAGGAUGAUUAUGGUGAUGAUAAAGGGGGAUCCAAUGGAGGCAGCGACAGCAGCGAUGACGAUGAUGAUGACAACGCCCCUGGUUCUGGUGGAUUUGCCAAAGUCAAAGAAGAAUGACGAAGCAGAGUCUCAGGACAGCAUUGAUAUGUUCAAGCUCUGCAACUUGAAGCCAGCUUUGCCAACCACCUUUCCCGUGCCAGAUUUCAGCGACAAAGAUAUGUGUGAGAAGAUCAACUUUGCCAUUGACAAGAGCCUGUUCUUAUCAAGUGAUGCUGAAAAGAAUCAAAUUGACAUGGAGGAAGCCAGCUCCCAGACCUAA
Molecule: ribosomal RNA, 462 nt
Filed under: Triticum aestivum (bread wheat)
Lineage: Eukaryota; Viridiplantae; Streptophyta; Magnoliopsida; Poales; Poaceae
Description: partial small subunit ribosomal RNA
Source: RNAcentral